UACGGAGGAUCCAAGCGUUAUCCGGAUUUAUUGGGUUUAAAGGGUGCGCAGGCGGGAGAUUAAGUCGGCGGUGAAAUUUUGCAGCUAAACUGUAAAAGUGCCUUCGAAACUGGUUUCCUUGAGUGUAGAUGAAGUAGGCGGAAUUUGUGGUGUAGCGGUGAAAUGCAUAGAUAUCACGAGGAACUCCGAUUGCGCAGGCAGCUUACUAAACCACUACUGACGCUCAUGCACGAAGGCGUGGGGAUCAAACAGGAUUAGAUACCCUGGUA
Molecule: ribosomal RNA, 269 nt
Filed under: uncultured prokaryote
Description: partial 16S ribosomal RNA
Rfam family: Bacterial small subunit ribosomal RNA
Source: RNAcentral